GCCAGGACUGCAGUUGACCGUACCGUAAUCCGACACAGGUAGGCGAGGCGAGCAGCCUAAGGUGCUCGAGUGAUUUACGGAAAAGGAACUCGGCAAAAUGGCCCCGUAACUUCGGGAUAAGGGGUGCCGGCAGUAGCUGACCUAAUCAAGGGAAGGCGAGACCGGCCGCAGAGAAUCGUCCCAAGCGACUGUUUAGCAAAAACACAGGAGCGUGCUAAGGCAUUGUCCAAGCCAACGUAUACGCUCUGACUCCUGCCCGGUGCCGGAAGGUUAAGGCAAGCUGUCAGCCGCAAGGCGAAGCAGUGAACCGAAGCCCCGGUAAACGGCGGCCGUAACAAUAACGGUCCUAAGGUAGCGAAAUUCCUUGUCGGGUAAGUUCCGACCUGCACGAAUGGAGUAACGACUUGGGAGCUGUCUCUUCCGUAAGCUCGGCGAAAUAGAAGCAUCGGUGAGGAUUCCGAUUACCCGCGACAGGACAAAAAGACCCCAUGCACCUUUACUACAACCUGUCAUUGAUUGUCGGUAUGCGUUGCGUAGCAUAGGUGGGAGCCGGUGAAACCGGGGUUUCGGCCCUGGUGGAGGCACCAGUGAAAUACCACCCUUCGUUUACUAACAAUCUCACUCAGCCGGCAACACCGGCGAGGACCGUGGCAGGCGGGUAGUUUGACUGGGGCGGUCGCCUCCUAAAAAGUACCGGAGGCGCACAAUGGUUGGCUCAGUGCGGUCGGUAAUCGCACGUCGAGUGUAUACGCAGAAGCCAGCCUGACUGCGAGCGCGACAGCGCGAGCAGGGACGAAAGUCGGUGUAAGUGAUCCGGCGGGACCGUGUGGACGGCCCGUCGCUCAUCGGAUAAAAGGUACGCUGGGGAUAACAGGCUUAUCGCGCCCGAGAGUUCACAUCGACGGCGCGGUUUGGCACCUCGAUGUCGGCUUGUCACAUCCUGGGGCUGGAGAAGGUCCCAAGGGUCCGGCUGUUCGCCGGUUAAAGUGGCACAUGAGCUGGGUUCAGAACGUCGUGAGACAGUUCGGUCUGUAUCCGUCGUGGGCGUGGGAAUGUUGAGGGACGUCGACCUUAGUACGAGAGGACCGGGUCGAAGCGACCGCUCGUGUACGGGCUAUCCUGCCAAGGGUAUCGCCCGGUAGCGAUGUCGCGCGCAGAUAACCGCUGAAAGCAUCUAAGUGUGAAACUGUUCCUAAGAUGAACAUUCCUGGGUCUUAAGACCCCUGAAGGGCCGUGGGAGACUACCACGUUGAUAGGCGGCAGAUGUAAGGCGUGCAAGCGCUUCAGUCGAGCCGUACUAAUCGCCCGUGCAGUUUGAUCGC
RNAcentral lists this ribosomal RNA (1322 nucleotides) under metagenome. RNAcentral describes it as "bacterial LSU rRNA". It matches the Rfam family "Bacterial large subunit ribosomal RNA", at positions 1625 to 2925 of the family's 2925-position model. The record is from RNAcentral.